UUGAAAAAACAGGACAAAAAAAUUAAACUGUAAUUAAGAAGUGAGUAGAAUUUCCUCAUUUACUUUUGCAAUUAGUAAUGGAGCAGUAAAAGAAAUUUUCGUAAUAAAAGAGAAUUUUUGUUGGUUAAAAUCGCUGAUGGUGCUUCAACGGAGAAGUAUGAUGACACAAGAUUGGUGUAGAAAUUUAUGUUAUGGAGUAGAGAUUUAAAUUUCAAGAUUUCAAAAUCUUGAAAUUUCAUUCUAUUAUUGGAGGAUACCCAACCUUCUGUUUUGGUUUAGCUGACAUAUCAGUUGUACAGGUUGAUGCUAAGAGGGCCUUGUCAAGAGAGGAGCAGCAAGGCUCAAAGCCUGGAAAUACAAAUAGUGCCAGAAAUUUUGGAGGUGAUGGAGCUCCUAGUGGUAAUUCACCUGUUGGAGGUUGUGCUGCAGGAGACAUGCAAUCAGGUGCUGGUGUUUACAUGAACAGUGGCUAUGGUGAUGCCAGUGGAAACUCUAGCUAUGGGAAUUCAGCAUGGAGAUCUGAUAACUCGCAAGGUUCUGGUAAUUAUGGUGCUCCACCAAAUGGAGCUCAUGGUGGCCAAGUUGGAUAUGGUGGUGGGUAUGGAGGUGCCCCCAGUCGGCAAGCUCAACAGCAGUGAAUGAGAUGAUUCGUGUUGUCUCGGACUUCACCUCUUUUACUGGAGAGUUUUGCGUCACUUUUGCGUUUCACAUGCAGAGUGCUGCUCUUGCGAGAUGUCACCUGCUAAAUGAGAUUGGUUGGAUUGCUUGAAUCCCUAGUAGUUUGCAGUACUUAUUUUCUAGUUCAUAAUAACUAGUAUUGUCACUAGUAUUACCUAUUUCGUGUUAUUGUUGUUAAGUGCAGUCUUAAUCUCGCUUGCUUAUGGUUAUUUUAUAAGUUAAUGUGGUUCAUUUGCUUUCAUAGUCCACAGAUAUAUUGGCUUGUGUUAAACUUGCGUGAAUUUACUUUUUGGUUGAGCCAUCUGUUGUGGAGUUAGAAUUUGAAGUGGAUUUUGACCUCUGCCUUCUGAAGCAGCAGGAUGGUUUGGUGCUAUUUUACCUAUCACUUAACAGAAAAAGUUAAUAAGAAGAAUAGAACACUUUCUAUUUUUCUUUGCGUGAUGUAGUCGGACCAUGAGAUUUGGUGGUGCUACUUACUCAUAGGAGAGCAGCUGUAGCGGACUUGGUAGAUCAGAGGAGAGGCCUGAAUACUGAAUGUGAUGAACAGUCCACUCGGAGAUAAAUACGACCUUGGGUGCUGGAGAUGUUUAGUAAAGAAAGGUACCUUACUGUGGAUUUGGCUUUGUUUGAUGGGGUAUUGUCCUGAAAGUUUUCGUGGUGAAGCAGACCAAGGCCAAGCAGGCGCUGCUGAGUUGAAUUCUGUGCAGGGUCGUGACCAACAGCCACCCACUUUGGUAUAUAUUGUACCCAACUGCUGUUGAGUGUUGUAUUGGUUCUUUUGGAGCUGGAGAGUUAGACUUUUAGUGUCUCAAUAAUUUGAUUAGGUACUUUGACAAUUUAACUAGCAGAAUUCUUCUUUAGGUUUGGAACAGUUUUUGUCAAUGCAGUGGAUUCUUUUCUCAGGAUGGUUGUUAGAAAUUAAAACGGUUUGGUAGAUCACUGGUGUAAGAUGAUUUGGCUUACCAGUUUCUGCCAUGUUUAUCC
Lycium ferocissimum is the source of this 1662-nucleotide long non-coding RNA. RefSeq lists it as uncharacterized. The transcript is spliced from 2 exons. The record is from RefSeq and is a predicted model, not a curated record. Lineage: Eukaryota; Viridiplantae; Streptophyta; Magnoliopsida; Solanales; Solanaceae.